This is a long non-coding RNA of Camelina sativa (false flax), 435 nucleotides long. RefSeq lists it as uncharacterized. The record is from RefSeq and is a predicted model, not a curated record. Lineage: Eukaryota; Viridiplantae; Streptophyta; Magnoliopsida; Brassicales; Brassicaceae.
UUCUGGUCUUUAAGUGUUUGUCGAAUGGUGCUGUUGAUUUUCUCGUGAAACCCAUUAGAAAGAACGAACUAAAGAAUCUUUGGCAACAUGUCUGGAGAAGAUGUCACAGUUCUAGCGGAAGCGAAAGUGAGAGUGCAAUACAGAACAGGAAGCCAGUGAAAACUGAAAGCUCUGAAGGGUCAGAAAACGAUGCCAACAUCAGUGAUGAAGAUCAUGGGAAUGAAAAUGGGAGUAAUGGUUUGAGUGACCGAGAUGGUGGGAGUGAUAACGGGAGUGGAACUCAGAGUAAUACGUUUCUAUGGCAAUAGAUAAAAAUUAUGUCUGAGCACAUCACAUUCAUAUCAAUUUCCUGAUGCAACCAAUAUGAACCUGGGAACCUAUGCCAACAGAUGGGAUGAUGUUAAUAAACUGAAGGAGAUUGAAGAUCAGAAUGAA